This 460-nucleotide ribosomal RNA is filed under the name uncultured bacterium. RNAcentral's name for it is "partial 16S ribosomal RNA". It matches the Rfam family "Bacterial small subunit ribosomal RNA", at positions 338 to 795 of the family's 1533-position model. The record is from RNAcentral.
CCUACGGGUGGCAGCAGUGAGGAAUAUUGGUCAAUGGACGCGAGUCUGACCCAGCCAAGUAGCGUGAAGGAUGACUGCCCUAUGGGUUGUAAACUUCUUUUAUAUGGGAAUAAAAUGUUCCAUGUGUGGGAUUUUGUAUGUACCAUAUGAAUAAGGAUCGGCUAACUCCGUGCCAGCAGCCGCGGUAAUACGGUGGAUCCGAGCGUUAUCCGGAUUGAUUGGGUUUAAAGGGAGCGUAGGUGGAUUGUUAAGUCAGUUGUGAAAGUUUGCGGCUCAACCGUAGAAUUGCAGUUGAGACUGGCAGUCUUGAGUACAGUAGAGGUGAGCGGAAUUCGUGGUGUAGCGGUGAAAUGCUUAGAUAUCACGAAGAACUCCGAUGGCGAAGGCAGCUCACUGGACUGCAACUGACACUGAGGCUCGAAAGUGUGGGUAGCAAACAGGAUUAGAUACCCUGGUAGUC